Molecule: ribosomal RNA, 492 nt
Filed under: uncultured bacterium
Lineage: Bacteria
Description: partial 16S ribosomal RNA
Rfam family: Bacterial small subunit ribosomal RNA
Source: RNAcentral
AGUGAACGCUGGCGGUAGGCCUAACACAUGCAAGUCGAACGGCAGCACAGUAAGAGCUUGCUCUUACGGGUGGCGAGUGGCGGACGGGUGAGGAAUACAUCGGAAUCUACUUUUUCGUGGGGGAUAACGUAGGGAAACUUACGCUAAUACCGCAUACGACCUACGGGUGAAAGCAGGGGAUCUUCGGACCUUGCGCGAUUGAAUGAGCCGAUGUCGGAUUAGCUAGUUGGCGGGGUAAAGGCCCACCAAGGCGACGAUCCGUAGCUGGUCUGAGAGGAUGGACAGCCACACUGGAACUGAGACACGGCCCAGACUCCUACGGGAGGCAGCAGUGGGGAAUAUUGGACGAUGGGCGCAAGCCUGAUCCAGCCAUACCGCGUGGGUGAAGAAGGCCUUCGGGUUGUAAAGCCCUUUUGUUGGGAAAGAAAAGCAGCAGGUUAAUACCCCGCUGUUCUGACGGUACCCAAAGAAUAAGCACCGGCUAACUUCGUG